This 253-nucleotide ribosomal RNA is filed under the name uncultured bacterium. RNAcentral's name for it is "partial 16S ribosomal RNA". It matches the Rfam family "Bacterial small subunit ribosomal RNA", at positions 524 to 776 of the family's 1533-position model. The record is from RNAcentral.
GACGUAGGGGGCGAGCGUUGUCCGGAAUUACUGGGCGUAAAGAGCACGUAGGCGGACUAUUAAGUCAGGUGUGAAAGACCGCAGCUCAACUGCGGGGUUGCACUUGAAACUGGUAGUCUUGAGGGCAGGAGAGGACAGUAGAAUUCCUGGUGUAGCGGUGAAAUGCGUAGAAAUCAGGAGGAAUACCAGUGGCGAAGGCGACUGUCUGGACUGACCCUGACGCUGAGGUGCGAAAGCGUGGGUAGCAAACAGG